RNAcentral lists this non-coding RNA (231 nucleotides) under Brevibacillus borstelensis. RNAcentral's name for it is "T-box sequence". It matches the Rfam family "T-box leader". Rfam says of the family: Uncharged tRNA acts as the effector for transcription antitermination of genes in the T-box leader family. The record is from RNAcentral. Lineage: Bacteria; Bacillati; Bacillota; Bacilli; Caryophanales; Paenibacillaceae.
GCAAAAGCGAAGAUGGAGACCAGUAAGCGGCCAAGCGGCUUGACAGGGAGAAGCGACCAGAGACUGAGAGUCGUUUCCAGGCAUGCCCCGCUGAAUUCACUCUUGAGCUGUCCUCUGAAAGGAAGGCGCCCCUAGUAGGAGGGAACCGGGUCAUUCCCGUUAUCAAUGAAAUGAGCGAGGCUGACAAAGCCUAACCAGGGUGGUACCGCGAGCACAACACUCGUCCCUUUU